This 4381-nucleotide unclassified non-coding RNA is filed under the name Hevea brasiliensis (rubber tree). The record is from RNAcentral. Lineage: Eukaryota; Viridiplantae; Streptophyta; Magnoliopsida; Malpighiales; Euphorbiaceae.
AAAUUCAAAGCCACAAAUAUAACAAUAUUGAAGUCAUGGAACAUCAACUCACACUUUUCUCUACCUCUGAUAGAGCUACGAAAUUUCACAGAGAGAUGAAGAAGAGGCUAAAACUUUGGAUAACAAUUAAAUAGAGCAACGGCAGAGAAGUCCAACUAGCUGGUAUGUUCCUUAGUAGAUUGGUAUGUCCCUAACGUUGAUGCUAUAACUACAUCCACAUUUUCUAUUAGAAACCAAAUAAUUCCAUCAUAUUCGAAUAUUAAAAUUCUACAAAUUGCCAAAAUGGUUUAAAUUGUGUCCAGAAAUCUCCAGCUUGAAAGGUAAUGAGUGGAGAAGAAUUCAACAUCUCCACUGUAGUGUUGCCUUCACGGGUUCAACGGUCAGUAGGAAAAUGAUCCAUCAAGCUCUUACAUAUGCUCCAUAUUAUGAGGCUUGGAUAAUGAAGGGAUAUAGCCCCAGCGGACAAGAUUGUCCAAUUUCUGCAGUGACCCAUUACCUGGACGUAAGUAUCAUAGGUUGCAAAGAAUGGUAAUUUUUUGCUCAAUGUUGAUGGAUGGGAACUAGUCUUUUACAAUCUAUAUUUAGUAACACACAUCAACACCGAUCCAUAUUUCAGCCGCAAGAUGAACUCCAAAUUCCCAAAUAGUAACUACUAACUAGAAGGAUCUGCAAUUGAGAACACAUUCACACCGCCAUGAGGAAAGAGAAGCCAGGCUUGCUUUCCUUGUUAUUUUCUUUUAUAAAUGGAGUUCUUAUAUAGAAUUUUAUCUAAUAUACAUAUCCUUUUGACCACCUACGCCCGAUAUAUAGUCUCUCACGACCAAUCCUACUGCCUAACAGAAUCAGACACUGUACCCGAGAAACCAUCUCUCUCUCCUUUGGUUUUUAAUUUCCUGUACAUGGAUCUCUCCGUUUGGCACAAAGCCUUUCACAGCUUUAGUACAUCUUUGUCAUACCAUAUUGAACAGUCCCAACUUUUCUGUGAGAAGCCGCCACAGUUGCAGCAGUGCCGAUCGCACUGUACUGAGCCUUGGCAUGCAACAAGUUUGUAUUGAUUGUAAUUCGGUCAUCAACUUGUUCCACCCUAUUCACUCCUGCCCGGGUCAGAAAAAAAGGGUUGGAGUCAAUGUUGAUAGCUAUAUCUGGCGCAAAUUUUGUUGUUAUGCCACGUUGCUGGACUUGCUUUUGUGAAGAACUCAGAUUUUCCAAGGCGGAUCUCUCUUGCUUCCCUGUGCUAGAUUUGCGAUAACCAUAUGCAGAAGGGACACCCUGAGCAGGAAGUAAUGAGCCUCUGACAAAAGUUCUUGGGUCAUAGGCAUCUUUCAUGAUACUUCCCUUGUCGCAUGGAACAACUGACCCCGCAACUUUUCCCGGUUUAGCUAGUGGAAUUCUUUGUGGUGCCUGCAGGGUUGAUAUAUUUACAUGAGUUCCAUCAGAAUAUCGGGAAGUUUUGUUGUAUGUUUCCUCAGCAGACUGUCGAUCUCUUAAGCAAGCAAUGGUCUGUUCUCUGGGAGGAAUUGUGUUUGAAUGUAUAAUUGUAGACCUAGGAAGAGAUACGUGCUUUCUUUCAAGUGGAAUUACUGGCCCACUUUUACCACCAUUUUCCUCAAGAUGUGCAAACUGCCUUCUAAAUUGAUCAAUGGCACUUGGAUAAAGAAAGUUAGUCCUCUCUGUUCCAUUUAUGUAGUCCUUGAGCAAUUGAGGAUGGUAUUCCAGUAUCUCUCGAAAAAUUAGCUCUCGCACGUCCUCCUUUGUAACCCUUCGCCUCUCAAACUCAAACUCUAUCUUUGUUAUUGGUUGACAAGACAGCUCCCUCUCAACUUUUGCCAGCCCCUUGAAGUAAGGAUCUGCUAGCGCCUCUUCAGCCGUUGGCCGGUCUUUUGGAUCAAAAGCAAGUAGCCUUUCCAAUAGACGCAACGCCAAUGGAUCAGUAUUUGGAAAUUUCUGAGCUAAUGGCACGGCCUGCUUUUUCCUCAUGGUAGUUAAAUAUCUCCUUGCCUUAUCAUUUCGAACCCGUGAUAUUGUAUCUAAUGAUGGGGUACCAAGCAGAUCUGUCAUCAAAUCCAGUUGAUGAACAACAUUUUUGCCAGGAAAAAGUGGUUUCCCUGUUAGUACUUCAGCAAAGAUGCAGCCUAUACUCCAUAUAUCAAUUGCUGGUGUAUACUUAGAGAAAAAUGAUCCACAAAGUUCAGGAGCUCUAUACCAUCGUGUCGCAACAUAGUCCGUCCAAAAUAUUGUUGAGGGGGUAUCACUGAAAGCAACUCUUGCUAGCCCAAAAUCACAAAUUUUAAGUUUACAGUUCGCAUUUGCCAAUAUAUUCUUAGGUUUUAAAUCUCGAUGAUAGACAUUCGCUGUGUGGAUAUACUUUAAUGCACGAAGAAGCUGGUAAAGAAAAAACUGAUAGUGCUCUCGUGUCAAGUCAUCAUUGGCUUUAAUGACUUGAUGUAGAUCUGACUCCAUCAGCUCGAAAACAACAUAUAUAUCUUUAAAAUCCCUUCCUGAAGGUGGAAGCAUAAUAUGUUUAAUUUCUACAAUAUCAGGGUGCCUUAGGAGUCUAAGCAGCUUUAUUUCACGAAGAAUGCGAGCAGCAUCUGAAAUGUGUUCAAAAAUAUCAUGUAUUUUCUUUAUUGCCACUUUUUCACCAGUGUGAGUGUCAAUUGCUGAGCAAACAACGCCGUAACUGCCUUUGCCAAUAACUUCCUGAAUUUUAUACCUAUUGGCAUCACCAUAUUCAGAGAAAAAGUCCACCUCUGUCGAAUUCUGAAGCACAAGAUUCCACGUUAGAUGAGUUACACAUACAGAUAUGCAUGCAUUUUAUGUUCUGAGUGUGUCUGUAUGUAUGUAUACUUGGGUUUGUACGUAUGGAACCUUAUUAACUAUUAAUUUAUGAAACUAAAGUACUAAACACAGAGCAAUGGAAAUUUUAUAUUUAGCAUAAGAUUCACAUCACAUUUUUUGCCAUUAUAUUCUUUUAUUAUAUCCAACUGAACAGUGUAUGUGUUACUAAAGAAUGUCAAAUCAAGAGUUAUUACAGUCAUGCCCAAUGUUAUUUAGCACUUAAAGGACUUGAAGAAUGUCUAUUUAACAAAGCAAUGGUAAACCUUUAGUAGUAUCAUUUUACUUAAUGAAAACUAUAAUCAUGCUAUCCAUAUUGAAAACUGUACAGACAUAAAUGUUUCUCAACUUUUAAUUUAAAAAGGCCAUGGUAUGAAAUACAUGGGAAAAAGAAGAACAAAGGGCAUUCUAACAAGAAUAAUUGAAUGGAUAAUUCCCUUUGUUAUUACUAAAAGGUAACCAUAAGACCAUAUCAAGAUUGGAAGUUUUCUCUGUUGCAACAAAUUUCAAUUUAUUUUCCAAAGAGGUCCACUCCACAUCAUCUAAAAGUCCUUGUAGACAAUUGCAAUAGCAGGAAAUAACAAUUGGAGCUCAUAAAAAACACAUAAAGCAAAUGGCACCGCUUAUGAAAAGACCAAAACACACAAAAAAAUAUUUCAGAUGUACUAAGAUAAGGAAAUAAAAAAUGAAUUUAACUAGAUAGACUGAGUUCUUAAGAGCUUAAGUAUCCUAAACUAAGACCCAUCAAAUCUAGAUACACUGAGUACUCACAAGCUUAAGCAUCCUGAACGAAGACCCACCAAAUCCCAUUAUCACAUAUCACUAAUAUCGGUAGCGGAGAAUUACAAAUUUUCUAAUUUCUCCUCCAUAUCAGGAAGGAUCACUGAAAAGGAAAACUAUAAUGCAAAGGAACAAGUAGCUACGUCAAACCAAAAUGCAAUCAAACCUUCUUCGGGUGAUCUUGCUGCAUUUUGUUUUCCUUUUCCGUUUAAAAAUUUCCAAACUUAACAAUCGUUUGUCCUAACGACGAUCUGCUUUGGCCAGUUGAGAUAAAAACAAACCAGAAAAAGAAAAAUAAAAAUAAACCUCAACAAUACAAUCAACAACAAAAGUAAUAAGAAGAAAGGAUCAGCCACAUUUGCCCCACCUACCCCUGCUCCUUAUGAACAGCCCACAAACCCACCCUAUUCUCCUCCUAGAAUCCUUCACCACCGUACAUAAAUUCCAAACCACCACCAAUUCCCUCAUACACUGCUCCACCUCCUCCGCCUCUUCCCAUAAUCCGACCACAAAAGCUCAUGAAGCAGCGACCGCCUUUGGACAAUCCAGUAACAAGAAGACUAACAACUCAAGCAUUUCCUUAACCUUUCGGCUUUACUUAGUGUGAAGAUCCAAAUAAAUUCAGGAACCCUAGACCAGAGUCGUUAUAGCCUUUUUUUUUCAAUCUUCAAGGAAGCUGUAACGUGUGGCUUUGAGUGCAGAAGCUGCAAGAUCUCAACACCGACAAGUGAGAGAGCCAGCGGCAGGGAGGCGUAUCACGUAUAGC